GGAUUAGAUACCCGGGUAGUCCACGCCGUAAACGAUGGAUGCUAGCUGUGUGUCGUAUCGACCCGAUACGUAGCGAAGCUAACGCGUUAAGCAUCCCGCCUGUGGAGUACGAGCGCAAGCUUAAAACAUAAAGGAAUUGACGGGGACCCGCACAAGCGGUGGAGCGUGUUGUUUAAUUCGAUGGUAAGCGAAGAACCUUACCCAGGCUUGACAUCCUUGGAACUUUUCCGAAAGGAUUAGGUGCUUUAUUGAGCCAAGUGACAGGUGAUGCAUGGCCGUCGUCAGCUCGUGUCGUGAGAUGUUUGGUUAAGUCCAUCAACGAGCGCAACCCCUGUAGUUAGUUGAAUUUUUCUAGCUAGACUGCCUCGGUAACGGGGAGGAAGGAGGGGAUGAU
This 394-nucleotide ribosomal RNA is filed under the name uncultured bacterium. RNAcentral describes it as "bacterial SSU rRNA". It matches the Rfam family "Bacterial small subunit ribosomal RNA", at positions 775 to 1183 of the family's 1533-position model. The record is from RNAcentral.